UACGUAGGGCGCAAGCGUUGUCCGGAAUCAUUGGGCGUAAAGAGCUUGUAGGCGGUCUGUCGCGUCUGCUGUGAAAAUCCGGGGCUCAACCCCGGACUUGCAGUGGGUACGGGCAGACUAGAGUGUGGUAGGGGAGACUGGAAUUCCUGGUGUAGCGGUGAAAUGCGCAGAUAUCAGGAGGAACACCGAUGGCGAAGGCAGGUCUCUGGGCCACUACUGACGCUGAGAAGCGAAAGCGUGGGGAGCGAACAGG
RNAcentral lists this ribosomal RNA (253 nucleotides) under uncultured bacterium. Its description in RNAcentral is "partial 16S ribosomal RNA". It matches the Rfam family "Bacterial small subunit ribosomal RNA", at positions 524 to 776 of the family's 1533-position model. The record is from RNAcentral.